Molecule: non-coding RNA, 105 nt
Organism: Tephrocybe rancida
Lineage: Eukaryota; Fungi; Basidiomycota; Agaricomycetes; Agaricales; Lyophyllaceae
Source: the annotation of a GenBank genome assembly
GGUGAGAUGGCUGAGCGUAUAGGACACCAGACUAAGGUCUGGCUGUAUCAUCGUGCCUGAAAUAUGGUCUCAUUGGGGGCGGGAGUUCGAAUAUCCCUCUCAUCA